GGCGGCGUAGCUCAGCUGGCGAGAGCGUACGGUUCAUACCCGUAAGGUCGGGGGUUCGAACCCCUCUGCCGCUA
RNAcentral lists this transfer RNA (74 nucleotides) under Virgibacillus natechei. RNAcentral's name for it is "tRNA-Met". It matches the Rfam family "tRNA". From Rfam's summary of the family: Transfer RNA (tRNA) molecules are approximately 80 nucleotides in length. Their secondary structure includes four short double-helical elements and three loops (D, anti-codon, and T loops). Further hydrogen bonds mediate the characteristic L-shaped molecular structure. tRNAs have two regions of fundamental functional importance: the anti-codon, which is responsible for specific mRNA codon recognition, and the 3' end, to which the tRNAs corresponding amino acid is attached (by aminoacyl-tRNA synthetases). tRNAs cope with the degeneracy of the genetic code in two manners: having more than one tRNA (with a specific anti-codon) for a particular amino acid; and 'wobble' base-pairing, i.e. permitting non-standard base-pairing at the 3rd anti-codon position. The record is from RNAcentral. Lineage: Bacteria; Bacillati; Bacillota; Bacilli; Caryophanales; Bacillaceae.